This is a non-coding RNA of Taeniopygia guttata (zebra finch), 2945 nucleotides long. NCBI's taxonomy places the organism in Eukaryota, Metazoa, Chordata, Aves, Passeriformes, Estrildidae. The record is from RefSeq and is a predicted model, not a curated record.
AGGCGCGCUGGGGCUGCGCAGGCGCGGGGAGGAGCCGGGGCGGCGCCCGGCGGCUCUGGGGCGUUGUGAGGGACCUCGGAGGGCCGUGGGACAGCGGGAGCAUCCCGAGGACAGGGGGAGACCCCGGGGGUCGUGAGGGGCUGGGGGUAUCCCGGCCCCUGGCGGUCGUGAGGGCUGGAGCGGGUGUGGAGCCGUGGGGGAGCAGGGGCGCUGUGAGGGUGUGCGGGACGCUGAGCGCUGCCGCUGUGAGGGCACGGAGGCGGCUUGGGUCCUGCCGGGGCUGUGAGGGGAUGGGGCAGCCGGCCCUGCCGGGGCUGUGAGGGGAUGGGGCAGCCGGUCCUGCCGGGGGCUGUGAGGGGAUGGGGCAGCCGGCCCUGCCGGGGGCUGUGAGGGGAUGGGCCGCUGCUCGGGGUGUCCCACAGCCCCGGGCUCUGCGGUACUGGUUUCCCAGAAGGUUUGGGCUCUCUUGCCCGCAGGACAGGAGACUCGGGGUCAGCCCAGCGCGCCGGGGAAAAGGCGAGCUCUGAGCUGGGGGAAAUCCAGUGUUGCUCGGAGUUUUAUUCCUAAAUGCCCUUCUGACUGCCUGCACAGCCCCUGCCCUGGGGCUCAGGUGGUGGUGGUGGGAUCCUCAGCUCCUCUCACUUUUCCUACAGCUGGUACUAAUCUAACAGCUCCUCUGUAGGUGACGCUCAGACUUUCACCAUUGCGGUUUUGCCGGGUUUUGAAGGCAAGAACAACAGCAACAAGUAAAAUAGAAGCCUUCGUUCUCUGGUUUACAAUGGACAUUAAAGCUUGUUUGCUUACAAGAGUAUUUGGUGGGGAGCAUAAUGCUAAGAGGAGUUCUUACGUGUGUGACCAUCCAAACCACGGUAGUGCUACUUCCUGUAAGCACUGACUGCUCAAGUGCGGAAAGAAUGGAGAAGGAAAAACGACAACGCAUUUUUUUCCCCCGCAUCUUGUGAAACAAUUUCACGGAAGACAGGAUUUGGGUAGAGAGCUAAGAGCUGUCUUGGGCACUUUGGGGCAGGAGUGGGUUUUGUAACAGGUGUGGAGUUUGGAGGAGAGCUUUCUUAAAGGUCACUCUUGGCUCUUGCCUUGCAUGAAGUCGCAUUGUAUAGUUACUAGAAGGUGCUCAUGUAGCAUGACUAGAGAAAUAAAAGCCUGUGUAGGACUGUGGCUGCUGAACACAAAUUUGGCUAUAAGAAAGCACUUCUAAAAGUGUUGGUUAGCAUUUAGGUAUUGCAGAUUAAUCUUUAAUCUGGGGGACAACCAGCAAGGUAUUUGCCUAACCCUCUUUUAUUCUCCACUGACUCACUUUGAGGAUGCUGCAUGCAGUUUGUAAACUUUGGAAUCUGAGUAAAUUGGUCAGGAGGAAAACCUUAUAGUCAAAUGUCAGAUUUGAUGUCAGCUCUACUGUGUUACUAAGCUCUGAGGCAGGAAAUGGGACAGAGUUCUGCCCUCAUGUAGUACUUACAAAGCCCUGAAAAAGUUAGCUGGGGUUUUACAAGGUAGGGUGUGAGAUUUGGGUUUUAGUAGGGCUUUAGUAGGAGUGUUUUAAGAACAAUUUGCUUCUUGCUUAUUAGAAAUUUAAGACAGUGUUAUAGAAGAAGCCUCAAUACUCAGAUCUUAACUCAGUAUUUGUCAGUGUAAUGCAUAAUUGGCAUCAUUAAACCAGAUAUGUGCUAGUUUUAAUUUGUUCUGUAGAUAAAUUAUUAAAGCAGGGCAGUGGUAUUUGACCUCAGCCUCCGUAGCAGUUAUGAUAGCAGCAGUCCUGAUUGUUUGGUAGUACCAGGAUAGUGUUUUGAAUUAUUAUUUCAGUUGCUCAUUAAGAAUUUAUUUUUGUUUUUUUUUCUCUCCCACAAUUGUGUUUUGGCUAGUGUUACAUACCUCAAGUAUUUAGCAAAAUAGUAAGUUUAAAGACACCUGAUCUGUGUUUCAGAUUACUGCUGUCCUCGUUUCCUGGAACAGCAACAUUUGAUUCUCUACCCUGAAGUUUUGUAUCACAUCAGUUAUUCUAAAGAUUGAGGGGACAUCACGGCAUUCUAACUUGUGGAUACCUGACAAGUGUCCUUAGAGCACAGUUAAUGUGUCUGGGCCUAAGGGAUCACUCCUGUGCUCCUGGGCUUAAUUGCAGUUUUAGCAACAGAAAUCAAGUCCCAGAAGCUUGAUUUAUAGUAUCUUAAGAGUAUUUUUCUUUCUCCUCCUAUUUUUCCCUUAACAAUCAUCCAUCAUACUUAGCUCAGAGGGAACGUGUGUUUUGUUGUAAGAGGCACCAGAGAAAGGUGUUGUGCAAAUGAGCACAAAUCUGCUGCAAGAGGCUGCAGAGCUUGUCUGCCUGGACACCUGCCACAGCAGGUUAGAUCCCUCAGAAAUCCGAUAAUCCUCCUUUAUCCUGGUAAUCUGAACAGCAGCAUCUUGCCAUGUUGUAGGGCUGAGGGAUAAAGUGUGUUAGUCUGCUUGGUUGCUGGAAUUCAGAGGCUGGUGGGUUUGUAUUCAGCAGUGCAUGUGAAGCCUGAAGAGCAUCUGCUUUUUCCACAAACGUCAUUCAAGGCUGGCAGCUGAGACACGGCGACCUUGGCUACAGUAUGGAGAUCUCCAAAUGGAGCAGAACUCUCCGCUUUCCUGUCAGACUGCCCUCCAAUCUGUGCUGUUCAUCAAACACUGCAACAACACUUCUUUUAAAGCUUGAUUUUGGUGAAUGUAUUUAACCUUGUACUUGACAGGAAUUGCGCAGAGCAGGGGAACGACAUUAACUUGACCCUCAUCUUGGAGGGUGCUGUCCUUGUCAGUGCACGGAGCUGGCUGGAGCUCUGGGAGCAGGGAAAAGUCAGGAAAAGGGUGGCUUGUCAACUGCUCUGCCAGUGGCCUUCCUCCCUUUGGAAAUACUGCCAGAGCUUACGUGUUGAAGGUGAAGUAAAUACUAAUAAAGCUGCCGUUAAUUAAAA